ACCGAGGAGGAAGGGAGGAACCGCGUGGAGGAAAUCUAGAACUUCUGGUUCCCCAAGGACCCAGCAGACUGUGUUCUGGCUACAAGGUGAUCACUGCCACCAGGUCAGUGCAGGAUUCCUCCAAUGUAGAUGGGCCGGGAGCCACAACUUGCGCGGAGCAGCAGCCUCGCCGACCGCUCAGAGAGAAGCCGCGCGACAGCCAGGCUUGGCCCGGACGGCGCCCCCACCCUGCGCGCGCGAUCCAAGGUUCUCACCUGGAGCGCUCAGGUAGGGCUGGGGCGGGGCGGGAGGCUGGCGCGCAGGCGCGGAAGCGGGGCCUCGCCCCUGCCGACGUCGCAGGCUGGAGCUCACCUGGGAGACUCCAAGUGGAAGCCGAGCCUCGGUUCUGCCUCUCCAGGCAACGCGGGAGGCCCAGCGGGAAGGCAGGAGGCGGCGGAGGAGGAGGAGCUCUACUGAGCCGCAACUGUGGUGACAGCAAACGGAGUCGCAGCCGCCGCCACCUGCACCUGGCGCCUAGCCCACGUCCAGCGCCUGCCCGGCCGCCGCUUCCCGCCACCCUGCCCUGCCCACCCGCCAGGUACUACCAUUAAAGAUACCUUCUUCUCAGCAAAUCUAUGAUAAAAAAUACAAGUAACAGAAGAAGAAAUAACUGUUAUUUGUCAAGUGACAAGCUUUUAAUGUUAGAAUGGCUCACCUAAAGCGACUAGUAAAAUUACACUUUAAAAGACAUUACCAUAAAAAGUUCUGGAAGCUUGGUGCAGUAAUUUUUUUCUUUAUAAUAGUUUUGGUUUUAAUGCAAAGAGAAGUAAGUGUUCAAUAUUCCAAAGAGGAAUCAAGGAUGGAAAGGAAUAUGAAAAACAAAAACAAGAUGUUGGAUUUAAUGCUAGAAGCUGUAAACAAUAUUAAGGAUGCCAUGCCAAAAAUGCAAAUAGGAGCACCUGUCAGGCAAAACAUUGAUGCUGGUGAGAGACCUUGUUUGCAAGGAUAUUAUACAGCAGCAGAAUUGAAGCCUGUCCUUGACCGUCCACCUCAGGAUUCAAAUGCACCUGGUGCUUCUGGUAAAGCAUUCAAGACAACUAAUUUAAGUGUUGAAGAGCAAAAGGAAAAGGAACGUGGGGAAGCUAAACACUGCUUUAAUGCUUUCGCAAGUGACAGGAUUUCUUUGCACCGAGAUCUUGGACCAGACACUCGACCUCCUGAAUGUAUUGAACAAAAAUUUAAGCGCUGCCCUCCCCUGCCCACCACCAGUGUCAUAAUAGUUUUUCAUAAUGAAGCGUGGUCCACGUUGCUUAGAACUGUCCACAGUGUGCUCUAUUCUUCACCUGCAAUACUGCUGAAGGAAAUCAUUUUGGUAGAUGACGCUAGUGUAGAUGAGUACUUACAUGAUAAACUAGAUGAAUAUGUAAAGCAAUUUUCUAUAGUAAAAAUAGUCAGACAAAGAGAAAGAAAAGGUCUGAUCACUGCUCGGUUGCUAGGAGCAACAGUCGCAACAGCUGAAACGCUCACAUUUUUAGAUGCUCACUGUGAGUGUUUCUAUGGUUGGCUAGAACCUCUGUUGGCCAGAAUAGCUGAGAACUACACGGCUGUCGUAAGUCCAGAUAUUGCAUCCAUAGAUCUGAACACGUUUGAAUUCAACAAACCUUCUCCUUAUGGAAGUAACCAUAACCGUGGAAAUUUUGACUGGAGUCUUUCAUUUGGCUGGGAGUCGCUUCCUGAUCAUGAGAAGCAAAGAAGGAAAGAUGAAACCUACCCAAUUAAAACACCCACUUUUGCAGGAGGACUUUUUUCCAUAUCAAAAGAAUAUUUUGAGUAUAUUGGAAGUUAUGAUGAAGAAAUGGAAAUCUGGGGAGGUGAAAAUAUAGAAAUGUCUUUCAGAGUAUGGCAAUGUGGUGGGCAGUUGGAGAUUAUGCCUUGCUCUGUUGUUGGACAUGUUUUUCGCAGCAAAAGCCCUCAUAGCUUUCCAAAAGGCACUCAGGUGAUUGCUAGAAACCAAGUUCGCCUUGCAGAAGUCUGGAUGGAUGAAUACAAGGAAAUAUUUUAUAGGAGAAAUACAGAUGCAGCAAAAAUUGUUAAACAAAAAGCAUUUGGUGAUCUUUCAAAAAGAUUUGAAAUAAAACACCGCCUUCAGUGUAAAAAUUUUACAUGGUAUCUGAACAACAUUUAUCCAGAGGUGUAUGUGCCAGACCUUAAUCCUGUCAUAUCUGGAUAUAUUAAAAGCGUUGGUCAGCCUCUAUGUCUGGAUGUUGGAGAAAACAAUCAAGGAGGCAAACCAUUAAUUAUGUAUACGUGUCAUGGACUUGGGGGAAACCAGUACUUUGAAUACUCUGCUCAACAUGAAAUUCGGCACAACAUCCAGAAGGAAUUAUGUCUUCAUGCUGCUCAAGGUCUCGUUCAGCUGAAGGGAUGUACCUACAAAGGUCACAAGACAGUUGUCACUGGAGAGCAGAUAUGGGAGAUCCAGAAGGAUCAACUUCUAUACAAUCCAUUCUUUAAAAUGUGCCUUUCAGCAAAUGGAGAGCAUCCAAGUUUAGUGUCAUGCAACCCAUCAGAUCCACUCCAAAAAUGGGAAGAAUCCACAAGCCUCAGAGCCAACCAGAUCAUCACACUGAGGAAGAAAUAGACUAGGGAUUCUUCAUCAUGAUCUUUAAAGAGCAACCAUGCUGACACCAUAAGAGCUCCAAGAUGUUGCCUGCAUCCUUUGACUAAUGGCUCUCUCCUCCAUCUUCAAAGUGCAUCAGUCUUACCUCUGGCUUUAUCAUCACAUCUUUUUCUGAUUUUGAUCCUCUUGCUUCCCUCUCAUAAGGGUCCUUAUGAUAACAUUGUGACCACCUGCAUAACCAAAAUAACCUUCCUUCUCAAGAUCCUUCAUCACAUCUGCAAAGUCCCUUUUGUCGUUGAAGCAAGGGACCCUCUCAAACCCUGUUGCAGCCUGUCACAUGUACUGUGACAGCAUCUAUGCACAUGGAAAGAGAUUCAAAGCAAACUCCUGAAUGGCAAGAUCUCCCUUCUCCCAUCAGCUUACUAAGAACAAAAAAAAUUGAUCACAGUCCAAAAGCCACUAUAUCCUUAGUGUAUUCCAUGGAAAGAACAUCCAGAACUUGGGAGAAGAUAACGUAACAUAUUCCUGGAGCACCAUGUCCAGAUCAAGUACCAUAUUAUAAAGGAGACAUAAAUAGCACUGUAUCCAGAGGAAGGAAACCAGGGCAACAAAGAGCCUAAAAGCCAUGCCCCAGGAGGAUCAGUGGAAAGAACCAAGGAUGUUUAAUCCUGCAGAACAGAAACAUAUAGAGCCCAUAAGCUUUCUUCAAAUAUUUGCAUGUCCAUCACCAUUGCUUUCAAACAGCCAGAAUUCGGAAAAUAGGGAAGAUUUACUCUGUGUACUUACGGGGCAGAAUUCGGGUCACAUGGCAGCAGGUUGCUCAAUGUUAGGAAGAGCUUUCUAACAAUUAAAGCUGCAAAAUGAAAUGAGCUAUUUCAAAAAGCUGUGUGCUCUGGAUCACCAGAAUUGUUCAAUAAGAGGCCAGAAAGCAUAGGAUAUGUUUUUAAUACGAUAAAUUCCUGGUUUUGUGGUAUAAGUUGGACAGUGACCUAGUCUAUAAGGUCUCUGGAAAACUAAAGGAAAAUAUGUAUAUCAUUUGGAUAUUGAGUCACAUCUUAUAAUAUAGUUCUUUAGCUCAUUAGCUGUUAAUUGCAGGUGGCAAACUGGAACCAAUUUAAUUAUACCCUCGAAGAACUAGGAAUGUUUGGUUGUUUUGUUAGCUUAUGAGAAUUUCAACAACCUGAAGUCACAAGAGGACCCUGGAAUACAUAUUACCACACAGUCACCAGGAGGGAUGAUGAUAGUAUCAACAUAUAAGACAUAUGAAAAUUUCCUCUCAAAUUUUUUUCUCCUACCCUCUGAUUUAGACCAACAUCGCUUCUUUCAGUGGUAGCUAAUAAGCCAGACGGAUCUAGUAGCAUGCUAGUAAAUAUUUAACAACUGACACUCUGGAAAAAAAAAUCUAAUUUGUCAUGUUUGCCAAAUCUCAUGGUUUAAAUACACCCAUCAUAGCUGAUUUCAAGCUACCAUUGGGAAGAGAAGUACACAAUCCACUUUAGUGAGCAACUUUAACAAGCUGGCUCCAGCACAUCACUGAAUAUACCCCACAUUUUAAUCAGGAGAAUCAGUGCAAUUGACUUCCCUAAAUUAACAGUCCAAUGGUUGUUGCAGAGAAAGAAACUAAAGAUUUGAUUACAUAUGCUUAGUUGUUCCAUUUAAACUAAAACACCAACAAUAUUUUGAAAGAACAUAUUCUUAAAUGUAUUGCAUUUGCCCAGGGCUGCAGCCCACCCUUUCAGUCUCCAUCAUUUUGUUUAGGUUUAUUUUCUCUGUCAAAAUAGGUUGUGUAUGUGACAGAGCAGGUAUUGAGCACAUCAAAGUUUUCCAUUUGAUGUUAAAGUGGGCCUCCAUUUGGGGAUGCAUUCCGGAAGCUCUGACACUAAGUAUGCUGUGGCAUAAUCUCUACAAUCUAACAGAAAUUCUGUAAGGAUAAGUGGAGUUCAAACAUAUCAUGACCAGCAGGUUCUGACACAUCUAAAAUAAAGAAUCAGAGUAUGGGGAAAUAGUUAAUAACACAUCCAAAAAUGUUGAUGAUUGAUAUAGUUCAACUGUUUCUCGAAAGCUUCUAAUCUCUUCUAUCUAUCAGGGCAUUUAAGGCCCUUAUCUGGAAGAUAAAUCAAAAGACUUUUGAGGAGAUACAAAGGGCAGGGCUGGAGGUGAAGUGGAGAAUUAUAAUAUUGCAUUGGUAAGUCACUAAAUGGGCAAAGCAGUCAUAAAUCUGAGAUUUGGGAUGAAAAAAAAUUUAUGUAGAGUUUUUUUAAAGGUUAAUCAUUAAAGGAAGAGUUACCAUCUGCCAA
This is an RNA transcript of Pan troglodytes (chimpanzee), 4896 nucleotides long. It is a transcript of the gene named polypeptide N-acetylgalactosaminyltransferase 3, with no coding region annotated. Lineage: Eukaryota; Metazoa; Chordata; Mammalia; Primates; Hominidae. The transcript has 15 exons. The record is from RefSeq and is a predicted model, not a curated record.